Molecule: long non-coding RNA, 3580 nt
Organism: Balaenoptera musculus (blue whale)
Lineage: Eukaryota; Metazoa; Chordata; Mammalia; Artiodactyla; Balaenopteridae
Exons: 3
Source: RefSeq, a predicted model, not a curated record
CUGGGCCCGGCUCGGCUGGAGGGCGGGUGCGGGUCCCCGCGUGUCACGCUCCAGCUCAAGAGGACAAGGAGGGCAAGAGUGAUCACUGACUCGCUGCCUUGGAUGGCGGAGCUCCCGUGUUGUUCCUUACGUGUGACAGCUAUUUCAUCUCAAGGUGAUCCCAUAAAGUGGAUACUGUUAUUAGCCCUAUUUUACAAUCUGCCCAAGAGGGGGUGAGGCCUGGAAGUGCGGCGGGCAGAGACGGGACGUACAUCACAAAGUCUGGAGAGGGCGCCUCCAGACGCGUCUUUGCAGGGCUUGCUGCCUCUCGAACCAUGAACUUUGUCUCAAAAGCCAUCUGGUUUCUCGUCUCGAAAACAUCCCAUGACAGCUCUGAGUGCUACAAACCAGGCUGGGUCAUCUGCUGCUGCUGGCUUCCAGAUAUUGCUCCAAACGUUUCUGCAAGGCUGGUGACGUCCCAAGACACUGAGACUUUAGAUGCCCACUGCCCAAUAUUUGGUAGUGCUCACAAAAAAUGUCGAUGGAGAAAAAAGUAUGACUGCAACACGGGGCAGCAAUAGGUAACAGGGAAGACCUGCGCGCACACUAGGUUUAUGCCCCGCUUCAUUCGAGGCCCUUGGAGGAAGCUGGAAAAGCAUGUAUGUAGUUCAGUAAUCUCCACCUGGUCUUUCUGUGCAUGAACUCAAGAGCUGGAACUGUAUUACAAAGCAAAGAGCUGGUGCUCGGCAUUCGGCAGGGAGUUCUCAGGGGCCUACGUCCAGGAUUUUAGAUGAUGUUCACCUUUUCAUGAGUAAACUUACCAAGAGUAACUUAAAUCACAGCUUUAGGUAUUCUAACAACAGCUUGUUACAUCCUUGGGCACAGUUACAUGAGGACGCACCUAUAUAUCCUUCAGCAGGUGUGGGGGGAUAGCUCCAACAAACACCUUCGACCUUGACGAGACAAACCUGACCACUGCAGCGUGGCCUCAGGCUCCAAAUGAAUGCCUCAAUGCAGCCAAACUCGCUCAAUGUCCAGGCAAGGCCACAGAUGGUACCUAGUGCUUCUGUACGGCUGAAGAAUAUAGUGUAGAGAUCCUGAUGUUUGUUAACUGCUGCUUUUCCUUCUUUUUUUCUUUCUUUUUAAGAUCUUCUCAUGCAGCAAAGUUCCUGUCUACCAACAUGAGUUGCAGUCUAAAGCCACAGUGAAUUUUGUGACAGUAACACUAACAAUCCAAUGGAGUAGAAACAUCCUAAUCUUCCUAUAAACAUACGGCACAUGGAGAACAGAAAUGAUUCUAGGAAUGACUUUGGCUUUUUUAAUUCUUCUUGAGGGAGAUAUAAAGAGCAUAGCAUCUUUGAAUUCUUGAGGCACUGUCACAAUACUCCAUGUGUUAUGGAAAAGCCGACACACAAAUGUGGGUCAUUAUUACUCUCCUUUUAAGAAUUGCAAGAGAGUGAGAGAGAGAGAGAGAAGCUGCAGCAACCCAGACCGGAUGAUACGGUAACACCAAACAGAAGCAGAAACGAUCACAUACACACUCACUAUACACUGGACUCCUUACUCUGUACGUACCCUCUGUUCUUUGGUCCAGGUCCCUCAUGAGCUGGAAGUUUCUCUGCAGUUCAAAGGGGAGGUUUUCAAUACCUGGGGAGAAGAGGAGAAAUUGAGCCUCCCUGGACGUCCUAGGCCCUACAGCUGCGUUUAAAGAACAGGUCCAGAACAGCACUCAGUUUUCCCUCCUUCAAACCGCUGGAUUAUCUGUGACAGCACUCAUCAUUCCGCUCUCAGGAGAGGUCACGUCCGCCUCUUUCCACAACUAACCCCUCCAUCUCUGCACAGCUUUCCCACCCUUCCUGCCUUCAGUGACUUUACAAAUCAGCCGUUCCCUUUCCUUUCCUUUCAACCUCUGUCUCCAAGCUCCUUGCCCUCAGCUUGCAAAUACCCUCCUGGCAUCCUCCACCACUCAUCGCACACACACUUCCAAUCUGCUCUCCAUACAAUAGCCAGAAUAUUCUUUAAAAAAUGCAGGUCUGAUCAAGUCACUAUCCUAUUUAUAACCCUCUAGUAACCUCCUACUGCAAUAGUCCUAUUCCGCACUUUCUGGCCCUUGCUUCCCUCACACCAGCCCUAACUCACGUCAGUCCCUGUCUGUGCUCUCUCUGCUCUAUCAUACUGGCCUCCUCUGAGUGCCUUGAACUUGCCGGUGCUCUUCACGACACUUGGCUUUUCACACGCUACUCUCUCUGCCCAGAAUGCCCUGCCCAGUCUUCUUCAUCCCACCUGCACCACACCUCUUGGCCUACAAAUUCCUGUUCAUUCUUCAAAGUUCAGCUCAACCCUGACUGCCCCAGACUCCAACAGGUGCCCUGGAUGAUGCUGUCAUGAUAUAUAUAUUUUUUAAAUAUGUAUUUCGCUGCGCGGGGUCUUAGUUGCAGUACACGGGAUCUUUGUUGCCGCAUGCGGGACCUUUUAGUUGCGGCAUGUGGGAUCUUGUAUUUGCAGCGUGUGGGAUCUAGUUCCCUCCCUGACCAUGGAUCGAACCCGGGCCCCCUGCAUUGGGAGCGCGGAGUCUUAACCACUGGACCACCAGAGAAGUCCCUGUCGUGGUAUUCUAUGUCUACCCUUUUGGGCUCUUAUCCAAUGUACUUAAAUAAGUAAUUGUGUAAUUAGUUAUUUGGUAUGUCUCCCCAGCUCUCCAGAAGGGUUAGAUGUAUCUGUCUUCUUUCCUGUUUCUCUAGAGUUUAGAACUAUGAUAUGCAUAGAGGAUCCUCAAUAAAUACUUGAAUAAAUGCAUGAAUACUUAAGUCUCUCAUAAAAGAAAAAUCUCUUCGCGUGACUCCCACUUCCAACUUUUAAAAUGCCUCCACUGCUUUAACCUAUAAACUCAGGUCCGCCACCACCAGUUUACUGAGAUUAAGUCAUCAAUAACUUACCAAAUCAAAUGAUCGGUUAUUAGUUCUAUCCUAAAAAAAUUACGUUUGCAGCAUCUGGCACGAUCUUCUCGUCUUCGAAUAACUUUCUUCCUCUUAAGAUUCCAAAUCUCAUCACAUACUUUCUAGCAAUUCCAUCAUUGACAUUUCCUUAGCCAGUCCCUUAAAUGUUAAUAUUUUCUUGAGCUUACACUUAAUUUAAUCCUCUAAUUUUAUUCUCACUUGCGUUCUCUGAAUGAUCUCCAUCUCAUUUACUCUUACAGAUACAAUUACCAUUCCUAUGCUUAGAUCUAAGUUGAAUAAAUAUGUUACUGUUACUCCUGAAUUUCCUAUCUUGUUGAUGAUUUACUGUCUACCUCACUUCCCAAACAGGAAAUAGAGAAGUCACCUUAGAUUCCUCCUUCUCUCUCAACCACCCAGUCACUCAGUCAAUCCUGUCAUAUUUAACUCCUAAACACUUCUGUCACUCCCUGAGAUCAGGUCCUCGUCUCUGACCAGGACUGUUAUCACUAACUGAUCUCCCUAUUACCAAUGUCAUCAUGCUCCAAUUUAUCGUACAUUUAUUUUCCUUUAUAUAAAAAAAAAAAUCACUCUAUUUAGAAAAUCUGUUGGUUCCUCGUUAUUUAAAGUGCACGCUGGUGGACUUCCCUGGUGGUGCAGUGGUUAAG